GAGAUGUUAGUAAAAUAAUUACACUACCUUGUCAAGGUAGAAUAAUAGGUUAAACCCCUGUACAUUUCA
RNAcentral lists this transfer RNA (69 nucleotides) under Rhinophrynus dorsalis (Mexican burrowing toad). Its description in RNAcentral is "tRNA-Asp". It matches the Rfam family "tRNA". From Rfam's summary of the family: Transfer RNA (tRNA) molecules are approximately 80 nucleotides in length. Lineage: Eukaryota; Metazoa; Chordata; Amphibia; Anura; Rhinophrynidae. The record is from RNAcentral.